UAGGGAAUCUUCCACAAUGGGCGAAAGCCUGAUGGAGCAACGCCGCGUGUGUGAUGAAGGCUUUCGGGUCGUAAGCACUGCUGUAUGGGAAGAACAGCUAGAAUAGGAAAUGAUUUUAGUUUGACGGUACCAUACCAGAAAGGGACGGCUAAAUACGUGUCAG
RNAcentral lists this ribosomal RNA (163 nucleotides) under uncultured bacterium. RNAcentral describes it as "partial 16S rRNA". It matches the Rfam family "Bacterial small subunit ribosomal RNA", at positions 355 to 511 of the family's 1533-position model. The record is from RNAcentral.